GUUAUAUUUGACGGUACCCUUAAAGGAAGCACCGGCUAACUCCGUGCCAGCAGCCGCGGAUAAUACGGAGGGUGCAAGCSUUGUUCGGAAUCACUGGGCGUAAAGGGCGCGCAGGCGGNUUUGGUAAGUCAGAUGUGAAAGCCCACGGCUUAACCGUGGAAGUGCAUUUGAAACUGCCAGACUUGAGUACCAGAGGGGAAAGUGGAAUUCCCGGUGUAGAGGUGAAAUUCGUAGAUAUCGGGAGGAAUACCGGUGGCGAAGGCGACUUUCUGGCUGAGUACUGACGCUGAGGCGCGAAASUGGGGGAGCAAACAGGAUUAGAUACCCUGGUAGUCCACGCCGUAAACGAUGUCAACUAGAUGUAGGGGGUGUUGAUCCCCUCUGUGUCGCAGCUAACGCAUUAAGUUGACCGCCUGGGGAGUACGGUCGCAAGAUUAUNNCUCAAAGGAAUUGACGGGG
This 459-nucleotide ribosomal RNA is filed under the name uncultured bacterium. RNAcentral describes it as "bacterial SSU rRNA". It matches the Rfam family "Bacterial small subunit ribosomal RNA", at positions 462 to 918 of the family's 1533-position model. The record is from RNAcentral.